UCAUGCCUACAACAUAGCAUUAAUACAUCCGAUCCCAUUACAACUUCAUAGUUAAUCAUGCUUAGGCUAGUGUAGUACUGGUAUGGGUGACCGCCCGGGAAGUCCUAGCGUUUCACAUUCC
Molecule: non-coding RNA, 121 nt
Organism: Picea glauca (white spruce)
Lineage: Eukaryota; Viridiplantae; Streptophyta; Pinopsida; Pinales; Pinaceae
Source: Rfam